UUGCAAUACAACUUGUCAUCCAUGGGCUUCGAUUUUUGUCAAUCAUUCUUUUCGUCACUUUCUUUGUUAAUGGAAAGUUUUUUUCAUAGGAUGUUGAGAAUAAGUUGAAAAAUUUGUUGUGGGACUCUGUAGUGUUGUUUUCAGAAAGUACAUUUCCCCAUGAUAUAUUUUUAAUUGUAUUAGUAAAUGAUUGAAAAUUGGCAUCACUCAUAAUCCUCUUACAGGUAAAUUCAGUUUUUGAAGUUUUUUCAUGGUAAUUUUUUGAAUUUCGUAUAUGAACUGUUGGUAAAUGAUCAGAG
This is a non-coding RNA of Paramuricea clavata, 299 nucleotides long. Lineage: Eukaryota; Metazoa; Cnidaria; Anthozoa; Malacalcyonacea; Plexauridae. The record is from the annotation of a GenBank genome assembly.